This 207-nucleotide ribosomal RNA is filed under the name Oenococcus oeni. Its description in RNAcentral is "partial 23S ribosomal RNA". It matches the Rfam family "Bacterial large subunit ribosomal RNA", at positions 2718 to 2925 of the family's 2925-position model. Lineage: Bacteria; Bacillati; Bacillota; Bacilli; Lactobacillales; Lactobacillaceae. The record is from RNAcentral.
CAGUUGUUCUGCCAAGAGCACCGCUGGGUAGCUACGUAUGGAUUAGAUAAUCGCUGAAAGCAUCUAAGUGAGAAACUAACCUCGAGAUGAGAUUUCCCAUUCGUCAGAAGUAAGACCCCUGAGAGACGAUCAGGUAGAUAGGCUAGAAGUGGAAGUGUAGUGAUGCAUGGAGCGGACUAGUACUAAUAGGUCGAGGACUUAACCAAG